Molecule: non-coding RNA, 148 nt
Filed under: Nomascus leucogenys (northern white-cheeked gibbon)
Lineage: Eukaryota; Metazoa; Chordata; Mammalia; Primates; Hylobatidae
Source: Rfam by way of RNAcentral
GCCUGGCAUGGUAGCGUGUGCCUGUAGUCCCAGCUACUCUGGAGGCUGAGGUAGGAGGAUGGCUUGAACCCAGGAGUUUGAGGCUGCAGUGAGCUAAGAUUGUGCCUCUGCACUCCAGCCUGGGUGAUAGAGCAAGACCCUGUCUCUG